UACAGAGGGUGCAAGCGUUGUUCGGAAUUAUUGGGCGUAAAGCGCGUGUAGGCGGCGUGACAAGUCGGGUGUGAAAGCCCUCAGCUCAACUGAGGAAGUGCGCCCGAAACUGUCGUGCUUGAGUGCCGGAGAGGGUGGCGGAAUUCCCCAAGUAGAGGUGGAAUUCGUAGAUAUGGGGAGGAACACCGGUGGCGAAGGCGGCCACCUGGACGGCAACUGACGCUGAGACGCGAAAGCGUGGGGAGCAAACAGGAUUAGAUACCCUGGUAGUCCACGCCGUAAACGAUGAGAACUAGGUGUCGUGGGAGUUGACCCCCGCGGUGCCGAAGCUAACGCAUUAAGUUCUCCGCCUGGGAAGUACGGUCGCAAGACUAAA
Molecule: ribosomal RNA, 376 nt
Filed under: uncultured bacterium
Lineage: Bacteria
Description: bacterial SSU rRNA
Rfam family: Bacterial small subunit ribosomal RNA
Source: RNAcentral